GAACCCGAAUGAAAUGGAUAUAUCCGAUGGAUAUGGAUAUGGAUUCGGAUAUGGAUAUAAAAAAUAAAAACCCGACGGAUAUUGAUUCGGAUAUGGAUUUUGAUUGUACUCGACCCGAACCUGAACCCGAACCUCGACCUCUCGACUGACCCGGCUGGCCCCUCGGAUACUUUGGCGGUCUGCUGAAGGGUUGCUGACCACUGCUCUCAGCUGCUCGCCUUUUUCCUUUGCUUCGAUCCACAACAUCUCUUUCUUUCAUAAUUUCUGCUCCCUUCUCAACAAUCAGUGCCCGGUUUACCACCUCCCUAUAA
Molecule: long non-coding RNA, 311 nt
Filed under: Ananas comosus (pineapple)
Lineage: Eukaryota; Viridiplantae; Streptophyta; Magnoliopsida; Poales; Bromeliaceae
Description: long non-coding RNA (ACOM_LNC038727)
Source: RNAcentral